This 2603-nucleotide long non-coding RNA is filed under the name Sus scrofa (pig). RNAcentral describes it as "lncRNA (ENSSSCG00015069766.1)". Lineage: Eukaryota; Metazoa; Chordata; Mammalia; Artiodactyla; Suidae. The record is from RNAcentral.
ACUGCAAAAGCAAAUCGGAUCGCCCGCGGGAUUCUCCCAUCUGCCCGCCUGGUCUUCCAGGCUGGAGGUGCUCCAUUAACUGGAGCUGGGGAGGGUAAGAGACGAGGGGGUAGCCGGCGAUUCCCGGGCGAAGUUGAGAGCCGUGCCUGGGCGGGAAGUAAAUUUUGAACUUUAGCCCUGGACCUUUCCGGGAGGACCCCCAGCGCACGAGCGGUGGCUUCCCGCCCUGAAGGGCCGACGGCAGCUGCAAGGACUCCAGCGGCGCUCUUGGCAGCCGCCUCCGUGACAGGGACUAGGAGGAAGCCGAGGAGUUUUCCUGGGAAGUUUGAUUUGACUCUGUGGGAAUUUCCGGGCAGGGCGCCUUGGCGCUGACGCUGGUGAAGGGGUCUGGCGAAAGACAGCCGGAGAAGAUGCUGCUGCUCUGGGCGGAGUUUCCAGAGACCCUGCUUUCUACUGUGCUCCCUUGGGAAGUGGCACUGGAGAUGCUGAGAUUCAGCUUACUUUGGUCCUAAUUCCCCACCUAUGGGCCGCAUGAGCUUGGACAAGUCCCUUGACUUUUCUAGAUUUUUCCCGUGUGCAAAAUGGGCAGUUAUGCCCACAUCUUUGAAACUGGCAACUAAUGAUCAGUUAAGGUAUACUGGUUUGGAAGGUAUGAACUUCAGGAGGGUGGUUGGAUCGCUCAAAGUGUAGCUUAGUGGUUAAGAGACAAGGCUCUGGGAUUGGAGAUAUGAUCUUAAGAGGUUUAACCUUACUGCUCUUGUCUUAGUUUGCUCACCUGUAAAAUGGGUUUAAUAUGAACAGUACCUACCUCACAGGGUUGUCUUGAGGAUUAAAGUUCUUAAUAAAGUGAAGCUCAUACAAUAAAUAAAUGGUACCUGGUAUGUAGUGAGUGCUGGAGAAAUGUGCUCUGUUAUUGCCAUUAUUACAUAACUGACCUUGCAGAGAACCCAGAAAAGCAUUUUGAGGUUGCUCUCAUUUAAUCAAUUAAUAAUUGUCCACUUCUGGAAAGGAUGAAACCUCAACCUUCUCCCCACCCUUUCCUGAUUUAGCACCUCCCACCCUCCCUACUGCUUGUUUAGUUCCAUCUUGUGAAGUCUUUCAUCUUUUCUUUCUCCUUUCUCCCUUCUUCCCUCCCUCCCUUCACAGUUUUGGUGAAAGGCACUUCAUUCUCCCCUUUUCUUCAUUCUUAAAAAUCAUUCUUGGCCCAACUUCCAUGUUCUCUCAGUGGAAAUCAGGCUCCAGGAAGGAGCAUAUCCAUGAGCGUGUCCCCUGAGUGUCCUGGCCUGGGCUGCUGGCUCAGGAUUGGAUGUGCAUUUGUGUCUCUGGGGCCGAUGAAUUUCUGGAGAGAGGAGCUCAGGUGUCUGGGGCCCCGGGGAAGAGUCAGGUGGGAUGGGCUGAGGAUGUUCCUUGGGGAGCUCUGCUGCCUAGGUGGCAUCUGUGUCUCCUGCUGCUGGGGCUCUCUUGGGAACCUGGCAUAUCCCAGCUGCUUGGGCAGAGUGGAUGUGGGAGGAUGUAGGGUAAGUAAGGGGCAAAAGUUUUACCUUCAGUUUUCCACUGAGAGCGUUUACUAGGAAUUUGGUUUUGUCCAAGCUGCUUAUCUGAUUCUGGACAAAUGCACAACACAUGUAAGAGACAGUGAGGAAGAGCAGGCAGCCGCCGUCCACCCACCUGUCUUGGCCAAUGGGCUCCUCUCUCUCCUUUCUCUGACCCAGUCACACUGCCCCAGGCCUGGGAGAGGAUGGCCAGGAGGUAGGUUCUUGGUGUCUGGAGAUCCUGGGAGUGGGCUGUCAGUGAUGAGACCAGCAUUGCAGCCACCUUCAUUCAUCUCUUUAACAGAAAUUUGUUGAGCUACUAUUAUGUGCCAGGCCCUGUGUGAGGUAGCAGGCCUUCAUGAAUGAACAAGACAGAUCAUGUGCUUGCCUUCAGGGAACCUUCUUUCUAGAGGGAGGAGACUGGCAAUAAAUAACUGGAAAUAAGUAACCAAGACAAUAUUAGAUCCUAUGUGAUGUGAAAGAAAUAGGACACAGGGAUGUGACAGAGAGGAGGAGGCCAGUGACAGCCGCCCUGGGAGAGGCUCGCUCAGCUGAAGCCUGAAUGAUGCCAAAGGACCCACUGCACAAAGAUCUGAAGGAAGGAGAUUCAAGGCAGAAGGAACAGCAAAAGAAAAAUCCUUGCAGCCAGAACAGAGUUUGCAUCAGCAGUGGAGCUGGAGAGAGAGACUAGAGAAGCCAGGUGGCCCAGAGCCUGGUCAUGUGGGACCCAGUAGGACUAGUUAGGAGCCUGGAUUUCAUGGCCAGGGCGAUGGGAAGCCACUGGAGAGUUUUAAGUAGGGGAGUGACAUGAUCUGAUGUAUGGUUUUUAAAAGAUUAUUUGGUACAUGGGGGUGGGAGCUUAUUUGGUAAUCAGAGUUGUCCCAGGGGAGGGAAAUGGUGGCUGAGGGAUGAGGGAGAGAUGGUGUUUUCACUAUAGAAGCUUUUGUCCUUUUUGAAUGUAGGACCACGCACAUGUAUCACCUAUGCCAAAAACAAUCACCCCCCCCAAACCAAAAAACAUAGUUAAAAAAGAAUAAUAGCUUAAGCCUGGAAAAUGUGUAUAAUAAAAAG